GACCGGCCACACUGGGACUGAGACACUGCCCAGACUCCUACGGGAGGCUGCAGUCGAGAAUCAUUGUCAAUGCACGAAAGUGUGAACAUGCGACGCCGCGUGGAGGACGAAUGCCUUCGGGUUGUAAACUCCUGUCCUGAGGGAGUAAGUGUACGACGGCUAAUACCCGCUGUACUUGAUAGUACCUCAGAAGAAAGUCACGGCUAACUCUGUGCCAGCAGCCGCGGUAAUACAGAGGUGGCAAGUGUUGUUCGGAUUUACUGGGCGUAAAGGGUUCGCAGGCGGUCCUGUGUGUCAGAUGUGAAAAUCCACAGCUUAACUGUGGAACUACAUUUGAAACUACAGGACUCGAGUACAGCAGGGGAGAGGGGAAUUCAUGGUGUAGCGGUGAAAUGCGUAGAUAUCAUGAAGAACACCGGCGGCGAAAGCGCCUCUCUGGGCUGAUACUGACGCUCAUGGACGAAAGCCGGGGGAGCGAAGAGGAUUAGAUACCCUCGUAGUCCCGGCCAUAAACGGUGUGCACUUGAUGUGGGAGGAUUACCCCCUUCCGUGUCGGAGCUAACGCGUUAAGUGCACCGCCUGGGAAGUACGGCCGCAAGGUUAAAACUCAAAGGAAUUGACGGGGGCCCGCACAAGCGGUGGAGCAUGUGGCUUAAUUCGAUGCAACGCGAAGAACCUUACCAGGGCUUGACAUGAUACUGCAUCCGACCUGAAAGGGACGGAGCCUUCGAGGGUGUAUCACAGGUGCUGCAUGGCUGUCGUCAGCUCGUGCCGUGAGGUGUUGGGUUAAGUCCCGCAACGAGCGCAACCCUUGUGUUUAGUUGCCAGCACGUAAUGGUGGGAACUCUAAACAGACUGCCUGUGAAAGCAGGAGGAAGGUGGGGAUGACGUCAAGUCAGCAUGGUCCUUAUGUCCUGGGCUGCACACGUGCUACAAUGGGCGGUACAGAAGGAAGCAAUACCGCGAGGUGGAGCAAAUCCUCAAAACCGCCCUCAGUUCGGAUUGGAGUCUGAAAUUCGACUCCAUGAAGCUGGAAUCGCUAGUAAAGGCGUAUCAGCAAUGACGCCUUGAAUACGUUCCCGGGCCUUGUACACACCGCCCGUCACAUCAUGGAAGUCAGCUGCACCCGAAGUCGCUGAUCCAACCCGUCCAGGGAGGAAGGCGCCGAAGGUGUGGCCGAUAACUGGGAUGAAGU
RNAcentral lists this ribosomal RNA (1195 nucleotides) under uncultured organism. Its description in RNAcentral is "bacterial SSU rRNA". It matches the Rfam family "Bacterial small subunit ribosomal RNA", at positions 302 to 1486 of the family's 1533-position model. The record is from RNAcentral.